AAUCUCGUUUCCGAAGAAAAUACUGCGGCGAUCGCUUGAAAGCGAAAUUUUCGUUUCGUGUCUUUUCAGUUUUGUUCUUGGAGUUAUCGCGUUUAGUUAUUCAAAAAAUUACACUUCGCGUUCAAUAGCAAAUCUUGAGUGUGCUUAAAUAGUAAUUAUACACACAAAAAAUUGCUUAAAUUCUUCCUUUGGAUUUUCAAAUCGCGAUCAAAUAAAGCGUGAAACGUUUAGCAAACUACAAAAAUUAAUUGGAAAAACGUGUCACAAUCGCAAACAAACCAAUAGUACAGACUUAAGUACAUGCGUAUAAAAUUUAAAUAAUUGUGAAUUCAACAACAUACCAUAAAUAAAUGAAUUGCGUGAAAUUAAAUUUUUGAAACGCUCUUUUAUAACAUAACAAAAACGAAGUGCAAUAAUUUAUUUACUUUAAAAAAAAAUCAGUUCGAGUUUAAAACCGCAAGAACUUUACAAAUAAUUGUGUGUGGCUAGUGGAUUUUCAUUGAUUAAGCCAUUAGUAAAAUCCUUUUUUGUACACAUCUUUAUUUAAAAAAAAACUGCAAAACAAAAACAGCUUCAAAAUGAGUCUGUGUGAUGCUAGCGUCGUUACCAUUCAAGCUACCCCCCAACAACAACAUCAGAGCACACAAAGCAUAGCCGAUUAUUUGGCACAAUUACUGAAGGAUCGCAAACAAAUGGCAGCUUUUCCAAAUGUAUUCAAUCAUGUUGAACGUCUACUCGAUGAAGAAAUCGCGCGAGUACGUGCCUCACUAUUUCAAAUAAAUGGCGUCAAGAAGGAACCACUCACGCUGCCAGAGCCCGAGGGCGCCCCUGUACAGUUAAAUGAGAAAGUAUACGUGCCGGUUCGAGAACAUCCAGAUUUCAACUUCGUUGGCAGAAUUUUGGGCCCACGCGGCAUGACAGCUAAGCAAUUAGAACAAGAGACUGGUUGUAAAAUAAUGGUUCGAGGCAAAGGCUCAAUGAGAGAUAAAAAGAAGGAGGACGCAAAUCGCGGCAAACCCAACUGGGAACACUUGUCCGACGAUCUGCACGUGUUGAUCACGGUGGAGGACACAGAAAAUCGUGCCAAAGUCAAAUUAGCUCAGGCCGUUGCCGAAGUGCAAAAGCUUCUAGUACCGCAAGCCGAAGGCGAAGAUGAACUUAAAAAACGUCAACUCAUGGAAUUAGCUAUAAUUAAUGGCACUUAUAGGGAUACGUCGGCGAAAAAUGCCAUACCAGCCUGCGAGGAGGAAUGGCGCCGUGUGAUCGCUGCAUCGGCUGAGAGUCGCCUAUUGGCGCCAGCAUUGCCAGCUUUAGGACCACAGAUACGUGCACCACAGGCCACCACUCUGGGCGCUCCCUUGAUACUUUCACAACGCAUGACCGUGCCGACCACAGCGGCGAGCAUACUGUCCGGCCAAGCUGCGCCCGCCGCCUUCGAGAAUCCCGCACACGGCAUGAUUUUCGCCCCGUACGGCGAUUACGCGAAUUAUGCUGCACUCGCUGCCGGCAAUCCCUUGCUGACGGAAUACACAGAUCAUAGCGUUGGUCGAUAUUUGCAUGCCGGCUCCGUCUUUUGAACGUUUUACCAACCAAGCCCUUUCUAAAGUAAUUUAUUGUACUCCAUUUCUUCACCACUUGAGCCAGCAAGCAGCGCCAAGAUUUGUUGCAACAAUCAAAAUAGGUUUAGUGAAUUUGUAAAUUUGAGUGUUGUUGCAAAUAGCGGCAAACAACAAACGUAAAUAUAAAGAAAAAUAUAUAUAAAUGAAGAAUGAAAAUAUUAUAGAAAGAAACAAGCAGACAGUAGAUUUUGAUUACAUACUUACGUUUGUAACUGUGCUAGCGUUGUUAUUUGUUAAGUAAGAGGAAACACAUUCAAUUCGGAAGUUAAUAUGUAUAAGUUAAUACAUAUAAAAUACACACAUACUUAUAUAUAAAUAUAUAAAGUAAUAAAUUUACACUCUAUGCAAAGUGAUAAGCAAGUUUAUUAAAGAAGUUAGCAGAGUUUUAGGCGCAUGCGCACAGUGAAUACAACAAACAACGCAAAUACUCAAAGUAAAAGAACAAAAAAUUACAAAAGAAAAAAAAAUAGUAAAUUAAAGCAAUAUAACCGUUAGUAACUAGUUUUUGGUAUCGUAUAUGCAAUUAGCCCGGUAAAAACUUACAACAAACAAUUUUUCGAAUUUCAUCAGAGCAAAUGCUAAUAAGUGAUUUUUAAUUAGCCGCAAGUGAGCAAUAUUAUUAUAAAUAGAAUAUAAGUUAUGUUUAAAAUUAGUUUAGACUAUAAAUUUUGUUAGCAGCUUUUGUUACUUAGUUGUUUUGAAAUUAUUUUCUAGUGCUUUGGGAUUCUGUUAAACAUCUUCUUAUCAAGCAAAUAUAUAAUGAGUAUAUUCUAGUUACGAGAAAUCAUAUAUUUUAAGCUCUUAUUUGUAUAACUUUCACCUAAAUUACUUGCAUAUAUGUAAUUAUCUAGGCGUUUUAAAUAGGGUUUCACUUUUAGAAUUUGUCUCCUUGGUGUUUAACUCUUAUAAAUAUUAUUUUAUAGUAUGAAAAAUAUAUAUAUAUUCUAAACUAACAGAACGAUUCAUUAUUUUAUUUUCUUACCAAUUAUUUAUUUUCUGUUUAGCAUUUUCUAUUAUAUAUUUGUUAGUUUAUAUCAUAUUUUAUUAAGUGUUAUAUAACAAUUUAUUUAUAUUUUAUUUGAGCGUCUCUUCGUUGCCAUUUGUAUGAAAUUCAAUUGAAAAACGAAAGUUCUUUGGCAGUGCAGCCCACUCUUUUCAAAUUAUUUACAUAUCCAUUUAACAUCUAUAUUUUUAUUUUUUAACACUAAUUUUCAUAUUCAAAUUUAUUUAUAAAUAAUCAGAUCUACAGCUAUUUUAUUUCGAACCAGUUCUUGACCGAAUUUAUGUAUUUGUUUCUUUCUUGUAGCUCUACGUUAUUUACGCGAUUAUACCUUCUCCCCGUCGCAUUUUUCCACAUAGUGCCAUUGUCUUGAAUCUUUUAUGAAGUAAAAAAAAGGCAGUUAGAUAAGACAUGUUUAUCUCAUUAUAUUGGAAUUCGAAAUGCUAGUAUUUACUAGACCACAUAUAUGAUUAUAUUCAUAAGAGCUUUCACAUUUAUUAGUUAAAUAUUGAGCUUUUGAGCUUACAAUAUGGCGUCGAAUCAUAAUGGUGCUAAUAUUAUUGAUGAUCUAAAGAGAUUCGACAAGCAUUCAUUUAAACUUUUUGUUGAGCUUUCAUAAAUGUAUGUAGUUCUUCCACAAACGAAAUUAUUACCGUCUAGUAUAUAUUUAAGUAACUAUAUUUAAACAAUUUGUAUAUAAAUAAUUAUACAUACACAACAUUUUAUUUGUUAUGCCUACAAAAGCCAUAAACUAGUUUAAUUCAACAGAAAAAAACUGUAUAAAUCGUUUACAGCUCACCGAUAUCCGUCCAAAUAAUUAAGUUGCCUAGUCAAAGUUAAUUACCACACAAAACAAUAUAAACAACGGCAUAUAGGUUGAAAUAAAUAAAAGUACAUUUAACAAGUGUUAUGGCUUGUUAAAGUUAAAAUUUAUAAGCUUUCACUUCACAAUAGUAUUAUCAUGGUUGAGAGCCAAAGCUUUAUCGAGCUUUUCGUCGCAAUUACGGUGAGAUUCUCUUCAAUUUCGAGCAUUCGAGCUGUCGGCUUGUGACGCUCGUUGAAUGUAUGCAUAUUAUUUUAGAGUACUGUAAACACAUUUUAAGUUUACGUUCAUGAUUUUUUUAUAUUUGUUUUAGUCUUUUUCUGUUCUUCUUUUUUGUUUUUAUUAAAUUUUUUUCGUUUUUUUUUGAAGCAUGCGUACUUUGGGUCUAUGCUCAGUUUAGUAGGUGGUAAAGUUAUUGCUAAAGUAUAUAAGCUAAGUACUCAUUCGUAGCUUUUAAGCGUGUUUAAUUAGAAAUCACUUAUUGGUUAAAUUUGAUAGCUUAACAGUAAAAGCGAAUUCUUUUUUAAUGAAAAUUCAAUUGUCACUUAAACACAUACAACAAACAAACAAAGCAUAUACGAUUCAUUCCAAAGAAUAUUAAAAUCUAAAUAUACGUAUGCUAUAUAUACACAUAGGCAUAUGUAUAUAUACAACACACAUUAUAAAAUGGCUGCCGAAGCCUUUUGUUGAAUAGUUUUUUUUUUUGUAAAUUAUUAAAUAAAUUCUUCGAUUCACAGAAAUUGCUAAAAGCAAGAUUGAGCUUCCAGACAUGGGAGCCAAACCAAGUGUAUUCUUUUUUAUUUUAACAAACUCGAAAGCCUUAGAACCAACAAAGAAAGCAUAAAGCGCCCAGUUAAAAUGCAAAUGUAAUUUUUUUACAAAUGAAAAUUGCAGCUUUUCGCUUUCACUCAUUGCAAUAUGUAGUUUUGUAUGAAAAAUGGUAGUAUUUACAUUGUUUCCUUGUCUGCAAAGCGAUUUUUUUUAUCUAUAGAAUUUAUCUUGUUAUUGAAUAUUUAUGUAGUGCACAAAUGAUUGUAUAUUUUUUACGUUUAUCAGAAUUUAUUUUCUAUCUAAAUAUCUAGAGUAUACUCCUAUGUACAUAUGUACAUACAUAUGUACAAUAUGUAUAGUAAUGACGUUAUGUGAAAAAUUAUUAUGAAUUUAUAUAAACUAUAAUAUAAUGCCCUUACUUAUUAAUCUUACUAUGUAUAUAUCGAAUAUAUUCUAGUAGGCGCUCUUAAACAGCAGAGACGUUUGGCUAACAGAGAUCAUCCAUAUCAGAGGGCUGCGGCUGCGGUCGGCGUCACAGCCAAGCCAGGUUUCAUUGAGAUACAGUAAAUAACGGUUAAGAACUUAAGCAUUAGCGAGAAAAGUAAACUAAAGUUAAAAAAGCUAAAAGGAAUGAAAUUACAACAACAAAAGUUAAUGUUAAAGUUUAUCACAUAUUUGCGGCGCAUGCAUACAUACAACAACACUACAUAAAUAACGGUUUAUGUACACUCAAAUGUAUGCAGCCCAGCGGCUUCAUUAAUAUCUUUCGUUUAUUUCAUUAUUAUUAUUUUUUUUUUUUUGAUAAGAAAUUUAAGUAAUCUCGUUUUUAUACAUAAAUAUUGUUUUUUCUUUAAGUAAAAAGUUGCAAAUAAAUUUUAUAUAAUGUUUUUAAGAGCGAAAUUUACAAGUAAUUACUUUUACAAGUAAGUUAAAAUUUUGAAGAAAUUGCAUUUUUCAAACAUUUUGUUGAAAAUAAAAUAAUAAUAUUUUAAAUUAAAAAAAUUAAAAAAAAUAAUAAAAACCUUUAAAUAAAAAAUAUAUAUUUAAAUUUGCUAAUUGCCUGCGCGAAGCUGUGACCAGAACGACUGCGUAUAGCCCACGAAAUGUUAAGUAAUUGGGCUGAAUAUUGAAAAUAAAACAAACACACACACUCACUCAAAAAAAAAAAAAUCAAACGUACGACUCUGACUUCUGCAAAAAGCGCCAAGCUGUGUGAAAUGAAUUAUUGCGUUUAACUCAAACUGAAUGAUUUGCCCAGUUUUACAGCUCAACAGACGAAAAUAACCCAUUUAGACGCGAUUGAUUGAUUAACUCGUUGCUACCACACACACACCUUCACAACUACUACCAACUAUUAAUAACUAAAAUACAUAACAAUUAGAGAAGUAAAAAUAGUUGUCUUUCUCACUCGACAGAUGACUAAGGGCAUACAAAAAGUUUACUAUUGAAUGCGAGCCAUAUGAAAGAAAAAACAAUAAAAAUAUUAUAAAAACAAUAAUAUAGUAAUAAUAAAACUGAAUAAUAUUGAAUAAUACAAAAUUAAUAACAUAACAAAAAGAAUAACAAAAAAUUAAUAAUAUAAUAACAAUUUUAAAUCAUAUUGUAUGUUAUAAUCAUGCCAUGUAAAGCAAUAACAACAAAAUAAGUAAAAAAGGCGAAUAAAUCAGAGAAAAAAUUAUAAUGGCAGUGACGUAUGUGAACACUUCGCAAGUUGACGGUGCGAAGCGGUAAUGCGCAACAAACUAACAGAAACCGAGAAUGCCACUUUUAUCACGCUUAACGCUCUGAACAACAAACCAAGUGGCUAGUAGUAAAAAGAAAAACAACAACAACAACUACAACAAUAAUUUAUAUCAAAUAACAGCUACAACAACUAAUCUUAUAGGAAACGCUCUGACAUAAUAAACUACUAUACGAGUAUUGCUAACAACAUCAGCGUUAUCACCCCACCACCACCACAUAUCGCACUAUCACCUUCCUACUUAUCAUCUUUGUGACAUUGUAUGCAUGCCAUGUGCAUAAGUAUAAGUACAAACAAUACCCUAUAUAUAUAUCAACACACAUAUAUAUAUAUAAAUAUAUAUAUAUAUAUAUAUAUAUUUACCAAUGCUGUAUGCAACGAUGGCUACUAUAGUGUAUAGUGUAUACCUCACCUUCGUUUAGCUAACAACUGUGUAUAUACACCGACGCCACUGUACAUCCCCGCCUACGAUUACAUUCGUCUGCCACAUAACGGCAUAAUACACAACAGUAUUGGUAGAAAGCAUUCGAAUGCUUCGUCGUCCGUAUCCACCACAUCGGCAUCCUCGUCCUUUAUGCCGGUGGGAUGAAUUGUGUUAAUAUGUGUACGAGCGUGUGUCAGCCGAUGUGUCGAGCAGCAGCAAACAAUCAGUCAACUGAACAAGCAGUCAAUUAAGCCACCUAAUAUCAUGUGUCUGCUUGCUUUCACCACACCACACCGCCAGCGAUGCAUACCUUGAGGCACUUAAUUGGGAGCGUGUAUACUAAGUGGCAUAACUGAAUUUGCGAUGUAACCAAUAGUGUACUCACCACGGUUUUGCAAUAAAAUAUACUCUACUUUCACCCGAUUCUUGCUAGAUGCUGGCUUGAUCUUUAGCGGCGAUUGACUGGUAGUUCUGAAAUUGUCUCGUCGCGUUUUCUUUCCAACUCAGCAAAUGCGAAAUAUUUGUUGUUUUGCAUAACAGUUAAUCAAUUCUAACUAGAACUAACAUGAAUCAAUCAAACCUAGACAUUUUUUAGUUCUUAACGCCUUAUCAUAAUGCGUAGCUCGUUUAAUGUUUAAAUUACCAGCGCACAAACGAACACACGCAUACAUAUAUAUAUUGAAGAGUAGAUAUUCAAAAAGUGCCACACUGUAUGCGAUGAACGGUAAAUGCGAAUUAUUGUAAGCCAUAAUUUUCUAUCAACUCUAAGCUGCGAACAAAAAUCAUGUACUUCUCAAAUCAAGUCUCAUGCGAAUCUCAAAAACUAUGUGGAAAUUUUGUUAAAAAAAAUAAUUUAUCAGUUUUUUUUUAUAUUAUACUUUUCUUAAAAACAAUAUUAUUUGUAAGUAAUAUAGCUUUUGUGGCAAAGCAUUAUUUAAGUAUAAUAAAUAUUAUUUAAUAUAAAUAAUAAUAACCACCAGCUACAAAUGCAACAAAAACAAAACAAAAAGUAAAAGAAAGAAAGCAAGCGUUAUGCAUAUUAUAGUCAUUUUAGCCAAUCAUGUUAUAACACAGUUUAUAUAAAACAUUUUUUAAGCAGAAAAAUUCUAUAAAAGGGGUUUAAAAGCAAUUAUAUAUUACAAACUAGCUUAACAGGAAAUAAAUUUUUUAUUAUAAAUAAAAACUAUGGACAACUAUAACAAGAAAAAAUCGAUCAUAUGAAACAAGAAAAAAGCCAUAUUUAGUCUGUAUAAGAAUAUAAAUUAAUUGUAGGCAUAAUUUAUUUACAAAUAGCAGUUAAAUGUUUUUUUGCAAAAUAUAAUUAAUGAUGUUAUGGUUAAUCAUCACCUAUCAAUCACAAUACGCACAUUUAAAGCAAAAAAAUAAACGCAUCUACAUUAAUUACAUUUAACAUUAAUUAGGAAUAAUAAUAAAAAUAAUAAAAAAGUUGCAGUUAAACUUACAUUGAGUGAAAUUAUGUAUUUGGUUUUUAACAACACAGAAAAACAAAAAAGUUAAUAAUAAGAAAUAACAAAACGUAAAAAAAAAUAAAUCUGCACAAUUCAAGCUGAUUGCUUGGCCAGCUGGAGUUUUUGCUCCAACUUUAAUUACAAAAAUAUUUAAGAAACGAGUCUAUUAAAAAAAUUUUAUAAAAUAAUGCAAAUUCUAAAUUGUUGUUUGUGAAAAAAAGCAACGUGUUUUUAUUAGUAAAAAUUACAACAAACUUAAUAAACAUGCUAAGCAUAACUUUGGUUAAUACACAGUUUACUUCUAGCUUCUGCUAAGCAUGCCUUUGGCAUGGCGUAAAAUACAUGGCAUAUUUCUUAAUUUGUGGAAAAAAGUUGCUUUGAAAAGGCACUAGAAUUCUGCGCAGUAAUUAUUUUAAUAACAUAACGUCACGAUUUUUCACGAUAAUUAUUGAAUUAAUCUCUAAAAUAAUCUAAAUAUUCUAAAAUUUUCACCAUAUUAGCCAAACAAUUUUAAUGCAACUUUUAGGCGUAUAUACUAUUUAUUCAAAAUUUGAAGUAAAAUAGCGACAAUAAUUACA
This is a non-coding RNA of Bactrocera oleae (olive fruit fly), 8425 nucleotides long. The record is from RefSeq and is a predicted model, not a curated record. Lineage: Eukaryota; Metazoa; Arthropoda; Insecta; Diptera; Tephritidae.